This 728-nucleotide ribosomal RNA is filed under the name uncultured bacterium. RNAcentral's name for it is "bacterial SSU rRNA". It matches the Rfam family "Bacterial small subunit ribosomal RNA", at positions 103 to 827 of the family's 1533-position model. The record is from RNAcentral.
CGGGUGAGUAAAGCAUCGGAACGUACCCUAGAGUGGGGGAUAACUAUCCGAAAGGAUAGCUAAUACCGCAUAUUCUAUGAGUAGGAAAGCGGGGGAUCUUCGGACCUCGCGCUCUAGGAGCGGCCGAUGUCAGAUUAGGUAGUUGGUGGGGUAAAGGCCUACCAAGCCGACGAUCUGUAGCGGGUUUGAGAGGAUGAUCCGCCACACUGGGAAUGAGACACGGCCCAGACUCCUACGGGAGGCAGCAGUGGGGAAUUUUGGACAAUGGGGGCAACCCUGAUCCAGCCCUGCCGCGUGAGUGAAGAAGGCCUUCGGGUUGUAAAGCUCUUUCGGCCGGGAAGAAAUCGUGUGGGCUAAUACCCUGCAUGGAUGACGGUACCGGAAUAAGAAGCACCGGCUAACUACGUGCCCGCAGCCGCGGUAAUACGUAGGGUGCGAGCGUUUAUUGGAAUUACUGGGCGUAAAGCGUGCGCCGGCGGUUUUUUAAGACAGGCGUGAAAUUCCCGGGCUUAACCUGGGAACUGCGCUUGUGACUGGAAGGCUAGAGUUCGGCAGAGGGGGGUGGAAUUCCACGUGUAGCAGUGAAAUGCGUAGAGAUUUGGAGGAACACCGAUGGCGAAGGCAGCCCCCUGGGCCGAUACUGACGCUCAUGCACGAAAGCGUGGGGAGCAAACAGGAUUAGAUACCCUGGUAGUCCACGCCCUAAACGAUGUCAACUAGUUGUUGGG